Long non-coding RNA from Cucurbita moschata (crookneck pumpkin), 178 nucleotides. RefSeq lists it as uncharacterized. The record is from RefSeq and is a predicted model, not a curated record. NCBI's taxonomy places the organism in Eukaryota, Viridiplantae, Streptophyta, Magnoliopsida, Cucurbitales, Cucurbitaceae. The transcript is spliced from 2 exons.
UUUUUUAGUUGUUGCUGGUCGUGGAGGAGAAAAUGCGCAUCGUAUUGUUCUAUCGUAUCAUCAUCAUUUGUUGCUUUGGAUGUCAAUUGGAUGUUGUGAGGCUUUUUGAGAAUUCUCGAUGGAUCAUGUACGUGUGCGGGAAGAAUUUGUAUUGAGAUGUGGAGAUAGUGUUCACUCU